Molecule: non-coding RNA, 75 nt
Organism: Schistocerca piceifrons (Central American locust)
Lineage: Eukaryota; Metazoa; Arthropoda; Insecta; Orthoptera; Acrididae
Source: the annotation of a RefSeq genome assembly
GCCCGCGGUGGCUCAGAUGGAUAGAGCGUCUGCCAUGUAAGCAGGAGAUCCUGGGUUCGAGCCCCGGUCGGGGCA